UUUCCGGGUUGAUCCUGCAGGACCUGACUGCUAUCGGAUUGAUACUAAGCCAUGCGAGUCAUUGUAGUAAUACAAGGCAGACGGCUCAGUAACGCGUAGUCAACCUACCCUAUGGACGGGAAUAACCUCGGGAAACUGAGAAUAAUGCCCGAUAGAACACUAUACCUGGAAUGGUUUGUGUUCCAAAUGAUUUAUCGCCAUAGGAUGGGACUGCGGCCUAUCAGUUUGUUGGUGAGGUAAUGGCCCACCAAGACUAUUACAGGUACGGGCUCUGAGAGGAGUGGCCCGGAGAUGGGUACUGAGACACGGACCCAGGCCCUAUGGGGCGCAGCAGGCGAGAAAACUUUGCAAUGUGCGAAAGCACGACAAGGUUAAUCCGAGUGGUUUCUGCUAAAGGAACCUUUUGUCGGUCCUAGAAACACCGAUGAAUAAGGGGUGGGCAAGUUCUGGUGUCAGCCGCCGCGGUAAAACCAGCACCUCAAGUUGUCAGGAUGAUUAUUGGGCCUAAAGCAUCCGUAGCCGGCUCUGUUAGUUUUCGGUUAAAUCUGUACGCUUAACGUACGGGCUGCCGGGAAUACUGCAGAGCUAGGGAGUGGGAGAGGUAGACGGUACUCGGUAGGAAGGGGUAAAAUCCUUUGAUCUAUUGAUGACCACCUGUGGCGAAGGCGGUCUACCAGAACACGUCCGACGGUGAGGGAUGAAAGCUGGGGGAGCAAACCGGAUUAGAUACCCGGGUAGUCCCAGCUGUAAACUAUGCAAACUCAGUGAUGCAUUGGCUUGUGGCCAAUGCAGUGCCGCAGGGAAGCCGUUAAGUUUGCCGCCUGGGAAGUACGUACGCAAGUAUGAAACUUAAAGGAAUUGGCGGGGGAGCACCACAAGGGGUGAAGCCUGCGGUUCAAUUGGAGUCAACGCCGGG
RNAcentral lists this ribosomal RNA (916 nucleotides) under uncultured archaeon. RNAcentral describes it as "bacterial SSU rRNA". It matches the Rfam family "Archaeal small subunit ribosomal RNA", at positions 1 to 922 of the family's 1478-position model. The record is from RNAcentral.